CGCGUAGGCGGGCUAUUAAGUUGGGGGUGAAAUUCCGAGGCUUAACCUCGGAACUGCCUUCAAAACUGGUAGCCUUGAGGGUAUGGAGAGGGAAGUGGAAUUCCAGGUGUAGCGGUGAAAUGCGUAGAUAUCUGGAGGAACACCCGUGGCGAAGGCGGCUUCCUGGCCAUAUCCUGACGCUGAGGUGCGAAAGCUAGGGGAGCGAACG
RNAcentral lists this ribosomal RNA (208 nucleotides) under uncultured Armatimonadota bacterium. RNAcentral describes it as "uncultured Armatimonadetes bacterium partial 16S ribosomal RNA". It matches the Rfam family "Bacterial small subunit ribosomal RNA", at positions 568 to 774 of the family's 1533-position model. Lineage: Bacteria; Bacillati; Armatimonadota. The record is from RNAcentral.